UCUCAUCGUUUCCCAUUUUCCCAUUUUGGGUUUUACAUUUUACUCAUUGUCUUUUAACCUUUUUUCUUUUAUGCCUGUUAUCAAAAUUUGUGCCAAAAGUUUAACAUGUUUGAAGGUACGGGGAUGUGUCACUUUUUAGGGGUACCUUUUUCUGAAAAGUGUCAUUGGUACCAUUUGGAAAAACAUGCAGAAUUGUGGGUACCAUAUUGGGAAAAUAUUACAAAAUUAUUAGGAGGUAGAUUAAGCAUUAACGAAAUGAAUACACUUAUAUGUGAAUGAGGUAUGUGUAAUAUUGAGAUUUUGGGGCAAAAGACAUAAAAAAUUUGUUUGAUGAUUUUGUUGUGCUUUAAAAAUGUCAUUGCUUUGCAGAAUUAUGGAUAUAUUUUUCAUCAUGUUUGCAGAAUUAUGGGUCACAUUUUUUCAGACAUGUGCGGAAUUAUGGUUCCAAAUUUCUUAACCAAAAUGUCACGUCCCCGUCUAAAAUUAGGCUUAGUUACAACCCCCCUUGCUUAGUUGCAACCCCCCUUGCUUAGUUACAACCCCCUCCCCCCCCCAAGAGAAAAGCACAGUGCAAUUUCUAUCAGCUUCAUCAAAUGCAUAUGCAUUGAUCUGGACUUUGAUGAAAAGGUACUCCCUGAGAAUGGCACAACCCUGCACAACUUCUAAUGCAGUUCCUGGAUCCCUUCUGAUUGUUGUCCCAAUCAGCACUCCCUGAGAUACUAAUUUGAGGUACAUAUUUGCACUUUUUCAGAGACUAACUGAGCAUCGGAGGGCUGCCUCUGCUUGCCCCCUACUCCUAGCUCCCUCGCUAGACUACUGCCUACAUUAAUUUACAAUAUUGAAAUUUUACUUGGUACAUCACUGAUGGCUCUUGUAGUAGCUCUUUCCCAAGUCUUUUGGAAUACAGUGGAACCUCUAAUAGCGGCUACUAUUGGGAGGUUUUUUUAUGUUUUUUUUAUCUUCUUAAAUGAUGGCUGGACGAGGGAGGAUGGGGUGAUUUAAGAAUUUAUACGUAAGUUUUGUUUACAAAUAUUACAAAGUCGUGAUCUAUGAUAUCAUGCACUGUCACUUAAUAGAAAUAAAUCAUGGGGUUGGAUUAGGACUUGAAAUGCCUGUGAUGACAUUAAAAGGCAGGAAAAAGCUAAUGGUUUUUAAGACAAGCAUACUUUCUAAUUAGAAACAAAUAUUUUUUAUCUUACUUUCAUUUCUUUGUGAAAGGUAAUCUGCUUGACCGUUAAUGGAAGUAAAAUGAGCCACUGGGGCAUUCCCAGUGGCCGUUUAUUGCAGGUGGCCGCUGUGCGAGGUUUUUUGUGAGAGUUUGACCAUAAAUUCGGCAGGUACUUUCUCCACUGGCCGCAGACCUGGAGGUGGCCGUCGCACGGAGGUGACCAUUGUUAAGAGGUUUCACCGUAAAUUGUUUAGAAUCUGCUCUUUUCAAUUUGAAUAAACUGCUUUUGAUUAAGAACAAAAGUUUUUCACACCAACAGGCGUAGUCAACUCUUCCAAACAAAUCGCCAAAAUUUGAAUUCAUCAUCGCUUGGAAAUUGGUUACAUGAACUUUUCUCCGGAUUUAAUGCGAUGGAAGAAUUCGACUGAUCGAAUCGCACUAGUCGGAAGACUUUGGUUUAUUCAAGUCAUCCUGGGUGUAGCAUUUUACAAGCCUUUGGACUUUCCUUAUACAGAUGGACUGAAAUAUUUGCAGGUUUCAAUUAAGCUGUAAUUAAUCUGUUUUUUUAAAGUACGUCAAUCGCUUUUGUCGCUAUGUUUUAUUGUGAGAAACAUUAGAAAACUUGUAAAUUCAUGUUGGUAAAAGAAAAAAUAUAUUCAUCUUUCAACUUGAUGCCUUUAUUACAAAUUGUGACUUUUCUGCCCCAAGCACAACCCCGCGAGUCUUUAAUCUUUAUUACAUUUUGAGGUAGUUAAAGCGCUCCAUGCUUUUGCCAUUUAUCAACAGAGCCGCUUACGUUAAGCCCUUUCCUUUGAAUCUUAUUUUAUACUUUGAGUCUCUAAACAUUUUACCUUCUCAAUCAGAUUCCCUGAUUAUUUCUAUUGCAUUACCCUUGAAUUUCUUUUAAAUUUUCACCCGUUUUUCUAUUGAAUUUCAACGAAAUUUCUUUUGAUUAACCCCCCGUUUUACUAUUGAAUUUUGUCGUAAUUUCUUUAGAAUCUCCUCCUGUUUUUCUAUUGAAUUAGAAGAAAUUUCUUUUGAAUUUCCCCCCGUUUUUCUAUUGAAAUUUGUAGAAAUUUCUUUUGAAUUUCCCCCCGUUUUUCUAUUGAAAUUCGUAGAAAUUUCUUUUGAAUUUCCCCCCGUUUUUCUAUUGAAAUUUGUAGAAAUUUCUUUUGAAUUUCCCCCCGUUUUUCUAUUGAAAUUUGUAGAAAUUUCUUUUGAAUUUCCCCCCGUUUUCUAUUGAAAUUUGUAGAAAUUUCUUUUGAAUUUGCCCCCGUUUUCUAUUGAAAUUUGUUAAAAUUUCUUUUGAAUUUUCCCCCGUUUUUCUAUUGAAAUUUGUAGAAAUUUCUUUUGAAUUUCGCCCCUGUUUCCUAUUGUAUUUUACCUAAAUAUCCAUUGUAUUUUCAACACUUUACUUUGUUAUAUACAAUGCGAUGACUUUGAAUUUUUUCGAGUUUUCUUUUGUUUUAACUUUGAAAUUGAAAAAAAAUUACAAUGAAUUUCCCCCCUGUUUAUAUUAAAUCUCCAUUUAUAUUUGAAACCGAAAUCUCCCGUUUUUCUAUUGUCUUUCACUGGCGGUCAAGCCCGCGGACGGUGGCUGAAGAAAUCGGGGCUCGAGGCCGCAAAUGAUUGACAGGUCAUUGUUAUCCACCAAUCAGGUUGCUCUAUUACAGCCCAUUUUGGUGGCUGCGGGCGGGAGCCGUCACCUACGAUAUAGCAAAAUUUUAGAAAACAGCGGCCACUGGCGGCCACCAUUGUCUUUCGACCAAUCAAAAUGGGGCAUUUCGGCCUCACUCUAUUGUUUACUGACCAAUCAGAACCCUUCAAUUCAAAUUUUCCAUUGUUUCCUGACCAAUCAUGGUUUAGGGAAUUCUAUUGUAUUUUCAAUUGUUUUUAUCCAAUCACAUUCGCUCAUUUCAGCCCAUCUAGCCUCGUUUUGAUGCCCAGUAAAGACGGGGGGCUACAGCCUCGUUUGGACCGGUCAAAAGACGGGGGUCAGAAAGAAUUUUUGCUCGAUUUUCUCCUCUUCAUUCAAGCGAUCUUACUCUACUUACAAUUUUAAGUUCUACCUAUGUAAGUGCCGAGGAGACUGUUUUCGAAAGGGGUUUGUCUAAGCAUGGUGUUUUAAGCAAAGGGUUAACAAGAAGGAAAAGAAUUCCCCCUUGUUAACCCUUCGAUUAAAACACCCUGCCAAGAAAACCCUUCGUAUGUUGUGUUAGGGGUUAAGUUAGCAUGGCGUUUUAAUCAAAGGGUUAGCAAGAAGGACAAGGCCCCCUCGGUAACUCUCCGAUUAAAACGCCGUGCCACAACUCCUAACGCAACACCGAAAACAGUCUCCUAAGCAAGCUACAAACUACUUACACAGAAUUAAGCUACAAUUAAAGACAAAUCUAAGUAAAAACGAAAGGGCCUAUUCUAAAAACAAAUGUAAACAGGCGCCAUGCUUACACCCAUUCGUAGAAUAAACCCAUGCAUGUUUUACAAUAUUAAGACGAUAGAUAACUCAACCGGAUACCUUCUCAAAAAAGGGGAACUUCCUAAUUGGGCAAUAAACAAAUUAAUAUGGGCAAAAAUUGUAUGCUUGGCUAUCAAAUGUCUUUAUAUGUUAAUGUAUAAAACUCGGGAUGAAACAUCAAAGGGGUUUUCAGAUAUGGAGGGGGAAAUAAGGAGAAAUUAACUAGUGUAAAUGAAAUUGAUGGAUCAAAUUAUGGUUUGAUAUUCACGUACCUUAUCGGGUGGUGAAAAAACAUCUUAGGGAUCAAUCAUUCAGGAAAUUACUUAUCCUUUUUCACUAGCAAUCUAUAGUUUCAUAUUAUGUAAUUUGCCUUGACGAUAAACGUAUAAAAACUGUCCUAUCGCUCGCAACCAAUGGGAGUCUUAAAGCGUUCUAUUUCUCUCUAAAAGGGAACCUGAUUUCAAAACUAAUAAAUGUUGGGAUAAAAUACCGGUCGAGAAUAAGCGGCGAUCUACCAUAAUAUUUUGUGAUUUCAAGUUCAAUCUCUAAAAAUUGUUCAUAAUCUUCAUAUCUUCUACUUCAACUUCUGCUUUGUUCCAUGCGAUCGACUCCUUCCAAACCGAUCAUCUGAAAGAAUGAUAGAGAAGCCAGCAAUAUCGCAAUAAAUGAUCAACUGCAGCAGUUGUUAAAUGUGACAUCUUUGCAAAACAAUAUCAUCAAUGUCCAAGAAGUGAAAAUCGAAUUUUCCAUCGAAGUUAAAGAUUAAGUCAAGGAACAACUUCGAUGAUU
Non-coding RNA from Rhopilema esculentum, 4412 nucleotides. The record is from RefSeq and is a predicted model, not a curated record. NCBI's taxonomy places the organism in Eukaryota, Metazoa, Cnidaria, Scyphozoa, Rhizostomeae, Rhizostomatidae.